This 470-nucleotide ribosomal RNA is filed under the name uncultured bacterium. RNAcentral describes it as "bacterial SSU rRNA". It matches the Rfam family "Bacterial small subunit ribosomal RNA", at positions 29 to 491 of the family's 1533-position model. The record is from RNAcentral.
AUUGAACGCUGGCGGCAUGCUUUACACAUGCAAGUCGAACGGUAACAGGGAGCUUGCUCCGCUGACGAGUGGCGAACGGGUGAGUAAUGCAUCGGAACGUACCCAGUCGUGGGGGAUAACGUAGCGAAAGUUACGCUAAUACCGCAUACGUCCUGAGGGAGAAAGCGGGGACCGGUAAGGCCUCGCGCGAUUGGAGCGGCCGAUGUCGGAUUAGCUAGUUGGUAGGGUAAAGGCCUACCAAGGCGACGAUCCGUAGCGGGUCUGAGAGGAUGAUCCGCCACACUGGGACUGAGACACGGCCCAGACUCCUACGGGAGGCAGCAGUGGGGAAUUUUGGACAAUGGGCGAAAGCCUGAUCCAGCCAUGCCGCGUGAGUGAAGAAGGCCUUCGGUUGUAAAGCUCUUUCAGCCGGAAAGGAAAUACGCGCAGGAUAAUACUCUGCGUGGAUGACGGUACCGGAAGGAAGAAGC